This 253-nucleotide ribosomal RNA is filed under the name uncultured bacterium. RNAcentral describes it as "partial 16S ribosomal RNA". It matches the Rfam family "Bacterial small subunit ribosomal RNA", at positions 524 to 776 of the family's 1533-position model. The record is from RNAcentral.
UACGUAGGGGGCAAGCGUUGUCCGGAAUUAUUGGGCGUAAAGAGCGCGUAGGCGGUCCGAUAAGUCGGCUGUGAAAGUCAGGGGCUCAACCCUUGAAAGCCGGCCGAUACUGUCGGACUAGAGUCCGGAAGAGGCAAGUGGAAUUCCCGGUGUAGCGGUGAAAUGCGCAGAUAUCGGGAGGAACACCAAUGGCGAAGGCAGCUUGCUGGGACGGUACUGACACUGAGGCGCGAAAGCGUGGGGAGCAAACAGG